RNAcentral lists this unclassified non-coding RNA (376 nucleotides) under soil metagenome. RNAcentral's name for it is "partial contains 5.8S ribosomal RNA, internal transcribed spacer 2, and large subunit ribosomal RNA". The stretch from base 1 to 120 matches the Rfam family "5.8S ribosomal RNA", at positions 35 to 154 of the family's 154-position model. The record is from RNAcentral.
GAUGAAGAACGUAGCGAAAUGCGAUAAGUGAUGUGAAUUGCAGAAUUCAGUGAAUCAUCGAAUCUUUGAACGCACCUUGCACCCUUUGGCAUUCCGAAGGGUAUGCUCGUUUGAGUGUCAUUGUACUCUCACACUCCCGAUCUUUGGAUUGGGAGCGGUGGACUUGGGUUUGCUGCUUGCCGUGGCUCACCUCAAAUGGAUUAGUGCAACUCUUGGUUGACCAUAGUACGGCGUGAUAAGUGUCUUCGCCGGCACCUCACUGGGUGGGCCGAUCGGGAGCUCUGUGCUUCAAACCGUCUUCGGACAACAACUGACAACUUGACCUCAAAUCGAGUAGGACCACCCGCUGAACUUAAGCAUAUCAAUAAGCGGAGGA